CCAAUCCCAACCUAGUAAGUAAGGAGACAGGACCCUUGGGGCCUGCUGCGGGAUGCACUUUCCCCAGCCACAACACUUUAAAACCCACACUGCUCAGGGGUGAAGUCUGGAGAUUCAGAAAUAUAUACAGGAGAGGAAAGAGGAAUGACUGGUCUCUCCAUCUGGCAGCUAAGGGACCUAGGCUAGCCUGCUUUUGACUUUAUUUGAGGGGUUUCCUUUUUUUUAAGCAGAUAGCUUUGUGAGUCCCCAAAGUUCUGGAAAUCUACUGUUAGCAUCAUCUACUAGUAAAAUACUUCCUCGUUUCACCCCCAGCAGAAAAACAAGAAAGCAACAAUAGUUUUGUUUUUUUUUUACUGUAAUUCCAAGGAUUUGUUAAUGAAAUUAGGAUUAUAAGAGAAUGAAGAGUUUAUUCUUCUAAAUAGGCAGUCAAGCUUCCCUAGAACUGAAUCUGAGCAAAUCAGAAUGGCUGACUGAAGGCCAAGAUUGGUACAAAUCCCCAGUUCCUUUGGCCUGAGCCAAGUGUUGAUACUGUCAACCCAAUAACUUCCCCAGUUUCUGUCCCCACCAACUGGAAUUGAACCCAAUGAGCGAGACAUGAAGAACUAGAAGGAGAGGCACAGGCAUUAUGUAUGUUGUGCUCUUCUCAGCAGAACUGCAUGACAGAGGAACUCCUCCCCUAAGAAAGAAGCCCAGCUACAGUCAGUAAAAUGAGCUGGAGAAGGAAAUGGCAAACCACUCCUUUAUCUUCAUAAAGAAAACCCCAAAUGGGGUCACAAAGAAUCAGACAUGUGAGAUAGAUGACAGCAAAAAAAAAGUGGAAAAGAUUUGGACCAUCACAGAAGUUUGCUGAACCCUGCUCUAGGCAGCCCUCUAAGAUUCAGAGAAGACACCAACUGGAAUUAUUGAAAGACAGAAUUCACCUGGGAAUUUCCUUUGCUAUAGAAAUAAUAAAUCUAAUUACUGUUCUAUCCUAUAUUUAGUCUGUAUAUACUUAUAUAAGCAUAUGCUUUUUCCAUUAAUAGAAUGUGAACUCCUAAGAACAAGGAUUGCUUGAUCCUUUGUCUUUGUAUCCCCAAUGCCUUGCACAAUGUUGCUAUGUUGUGAGUUCUUAAUAGAUGUUUGUUGAUUGACUCAUUACUUGCUGAAGUCAAAUAUUACUUUAUUUUCCCAGAAUAUGCUUUGAUGUCAGUUGAUGUGUUUUUCAGAAUUUGAAGACAGAUUUCCUGAGCCCUGUUAUCAUGGAAUGGUUUCAUUCCAGCCUGAACAAUUCAUUGUCUCUUCUUCCCUGAAGUGAUGAGGUGCCUGCAGACUAAUCAUGUAAAUACAAACAACUCUCUCCUCUCAUGCCUACUCCAGUACUGCUCUGGGUUGCUAGACUCACCUUGUGAGAUGCCCCCUGUCUCAAGAAGGUCAGUUAGAGAUGAAUAAGGUCCCCUGGCAACAGCUGACUUCUCUUUUAUGAACUGCUUGUAUCUAUCGCCAUAUGGCAGAUUAUUUAUUUGCUUUUUGCCUGCACUAAAGAAUCACUCCAGACAUUGAGAGUCAGGAGGAAAAAAAAGCAUCAAGGUGUUCAGCAUUCAUUUUUUGAAAAUUGUUCAAGUU
RNAcentral lists this long non-coding RNA (1602 nucleotides) under Monodelphis domestica (gray short-tailed opossum). RNAcentral's name for it is "lncRNA (ENSMODG00000033058.2)". Lineage: Eukaryota; Metazoa; Chordata; Mammalia; Didelphimorphia; Didelphidae. The record is from RNAcentral.